GGUCAUAUUUCUCUGCUUCUUUGCACGCCUGAUAAUUUUUAACUUGAUAUCUACAUUGUGAAUUUCACCUUGUUUUUAUAGAUACCCGGUCUUGCUAUCUUUCCCAAGCUGUUCUUGAUCUCCUGGCUUCAAGUGAUCCUUGACCUCCCAAAGUGCUGGGAGGAUAGACAUGAGCCACUGUGCCUGACCCAAGUGGAAUAAACUCUAAUGUUAAGUGGGGGAAGUCAAGAUGGCUAACCAGGCACAGCCAGGUGGAUCAUUUCUUACCAAAAGGAUGAGACUUCAGGAAGACUGGCACAUUCUGAGCAGAUCUUUGUGGGGAAGGCAUUGAGAGUGGACAGAGCUUCAGGCACGUCUCAGCAUGCCUCCCUCUCAUGGAAGUUCCCAGGAAGCCCACCAUGUACGUGUCUGUACGUGUCUGUAGAAGAGGAGGAAAUUUUUUUCCGGGAGCCGGCUGAUUACACAAAGAACAAAGCACAAUGCGGCAAAACAUACCAUGCUGUGGCUAGAACCCAACCCAGUACCAGAAAUGAAGAAAAUGACCCUACAGGACCAGCAGCCCUGGACAAUGCGGCUUCCUCGGAUGACACAAUCCACGGACGUUAUCUGGGGGAUGCUGAAGAGGACAACUCAGGAGGCUGAGCAAAUCCUGCUCCGGACACAGACACCAUUCACUCCAGAUAAUUUGUUCCUUGCUAUCCUCUCUGUUUUGCAUUGCAACUCAUGUAGGGAUGCAAAGCAGGAAUACAAGCAAUGAGCGCCAUGCCUGAAAAACCUGUUGCUGUACACAUCUAUACUCUUCAAUCAACAAAACAUGAUGCUAAAAAUAGAAAAGAGGGAGAUGUAGGAGUUCAGUCAGUGUGUUGGGAAAAGUUGUAAGAAAAAUUAUAGGAAGACGCAAACAUUCUUGGAAGGCAGGAAGGUUUUGCUAAAGCUUUGGGAAAGGGUUAUGGCUGAAGGCAGCCUAAUCCUCUUACCUGAGCUAAUAGCAAAAAGCAAAUAACAAGGGAAUGUCAGGGAGUUUAUCUAAAUAGCUUUUUUACUCAUGUUGUCCUAAGACCAAACUUUGAUAGUCCAUGCACAGGAUUGCUCUCUCCGUGUGCAGUGGGGAGGUAGACUAUGUUAAUUUUACCCACAAGUGUGUUGACUCAAGGCUUUGUCAUUAAAUCUGUACUAAAUAAAUUCCUGCAGUGCCAGUUUGUCAAGGCCGUGGCUGCUACAACUCUUUCUGUUAUCAGCCCAGUUCCCUAGUCUGCUCUUUCACUUGGAUACUGUGUCUCAGUACAUUUUUUCAUCCAUCGCUCAGUCAGGGUCUGUGGGUCAGACCUGGCAUAUCUUUAUGCCAGCACCACACUCUUGAUUAUGAUAGGUUUAUAGUGAGUUCUGAAUUAGGAAUGUAUGAGUUCUACAACUUUGUUCCCGUUUUUCGGAAUUGUUUUGACUGUUCACAGUGCCUGAAUAUUCUAUAUUAAUUUUAAGGUGGAAUUUUCUAUUUCUGCAAAAUAUAACAUUGAGAGUUUGAUAGGGAUUGUAUUUAAUCUACAGAUUGCUUUGAGUAGUAUUGCCAACUUAACAAUAUUAGGUCUUCCAAUUUAUGAAAAGAGAGUGUAUUUCUAUUUAUAUAUGUCUUUGUGAAUUUCUUUCAGCAACAUUGUGUAGUUUUCAUUGUAGCCUUUCACAUGGUUAGUUAAUUCCUAAAUAUGUUAUUGCUUGAGAGGUUAUUGUAAAUAAAAUUGUUUUGUUAAUUUUA
Molecule: long non-coding RNA, 1750 nt
Organism: Homo sapiens (human)
Lineage: Eukaryota; Metazoa; Chordata; Mammalia; Primates; Hominidae
Exons: 6
Source: RefSeq, a predicted model, not a curated record